RNAcentral lists this ribosomal RNA (117 nucleotides) under Danio rerio (zebrafish). The record is from RNAcentral. Lineage: Eukaryota; Metazoa; Chordata; Actinopteri; Cypriniformes; Danionidae.
AGUCACAGCCAUAUCACCCUGCAGCCCAAGAUUGGUUACUCACUGAAGCUAAGCAGGGCUGAGCCUGGUCAGUACCUGGAUGGGAGACCACUAGGGAACACUAGGUUGCUGUUGGAA